CUCCCCGUAGUUCAACGGAUAGAACAAGGGACUUCUAAUCCCUAGAUCGAGGUUCGAUUCCUCGCGGGGGGA
Molecule: transfer RNA, 72 nt
Filed under: bacterium
Lineage: Bacteria
Description: tRNA-Arg
Rfam family: tRNA
About the family: Transfer RNA (tRNA) molecules are approximately 80 nucleotides in length. Their secondary structure includes four short double-helical elements and three loops (D, anti-codon, and T loops).
Source: RNAcentral